Molecule: long non-coding RNA, 798 nt
Filed under: Phascolarctos cinereus (koala)
Lineage: Eukaryota; Metazoa; Chordata; Mammalia; Diprotodontia; Phascolarctidae
Description: lncRNA (ENSPCIG00000030291.2)
Source: RNAcentral
AUUCCUCCAAGUUUACACAGUCUCUUCUAUGCUUUAGAAGACACAGGUAUUUGUUGAAGUUUAUGAAAGACUACAACCAGCAUAAAGAAUACGUGCUAGCUGGACACAAGGCAAUUCCUGGUGCCAAGUGUUUAUGUUGAUUUAUGGGAAGAAGGGGCUCCAGGAGAGGGAUGCUGAUGCUAUCAUGGCACUGGAUUAAAUGCCUAUUUGUACCUUUAUUGACAUAUAAAUUUUCCAUGCCAAUAAGGCAGUGAUGUGGCACAAACCCCUGGAUGUGGACUCCUCUGUGCCACCCCUUUCCCUGAUUCGAGUGAGGUGAAUACCAGAACUGAGCUAAGACCCCAACUGCAAGCUCUCACAAUGUCUGCUGCGUUGUAUAUUGUCCCAAAGGCAUUGAUGACAAGCAAACCUUCCAAAUGGAUUUUAAGAAACCAGGAAGACAUUUGAAAGGGUGGUCUUGGUUUUGUUCUGGUGGCUGUAUGUGUAUUGGAGCGAAUGUAUGCCUCAUUUUUCCCCCCAUGUUUUUUAUUCAACUGUGAAUUUGGAAGAAAAACUUUUAAAAAAGAAGAGCAUUGUAUUUCUGGGAAAUGGAAUCUGUCUCAGCAUCCAGCCAACAUCAGAAGAGAAAGCCAGUGACACAUGGCCUGGAAGAUCAAAAGAGGACCGUGUGGCCAACUGUCCAACUAUCUUUCCCUGGACAUGUAAAGUAUCACAAGAUAAAGGAUGCAAAUUUCUAACAUGAAGAUGAUAAGUGCAAUGUUCUGGAACAUAGAAGCCACAAAGGAAUUUGCAUAUUCC